UUGGCUUCUCGGCCUUUUGGUUAAGAUCAAGAAUAGUUUCUGUUCUUAUCAGUUUAAUAUCUGAUAGUUCUCUAUACAAGGAUCAUAUAUUAAAUUGAUUUUUGAAUAGGAAUAGGGGCUUGCUCUGUCCACUCCAUGCAUCAACCUGGUAUUGCAGUACUUCUGGGAAUGGUGCACCCACU
RNAcentral lists this small nuclear RNA (182 nucleotides) under Poecilia latipinna (sailfin molly). Its description in RNAcentral is "U2 spliceosomal RNA (ENSPLAG00000021377.1)". It matches the Rfam family "U2 spliceosomal RNA". Rfam says of the family: U2 is a small nuclear RNA (snRNA) component of the spliceosome (involved in pre-mRNA splicing). Complementary binding between U2 snRNA (in an area lying towards the 5' end but 3' to hairpin I) and the branchpoint sequence (BPS) of the intron results the bulging out of an unpaired adenosine, on the BPS, which initiates a nucleophilic attack at the intronic 5' splice site, thus starting the first of two transesterification reactions that mediate splicing. The record is from RNAcentral. Lineage: Eukaryota; Metazoa; Chordata; Actinopteri; Cyprinodontiformes; Poeciliidae.